UACGGAGGGUGCAAGCGUUGUCCGGAAUUAUUGGGCGUAAAGAGCUCGUAGGCGGUCUGUCGCGUCGGCUGUGAAAACCCGGGGCUCAACCCCGGGCCUGCAGUCGAUACGGGCAGACUAGAGUUCGGCAGGGGAGACUGGAAUUCCUGGUGUAGCGGUGAAAUGCGCAGAUAUCAGGAGGAACACCGGUGGCGAAGGCGGGUCUCUGGGCCGAUACUGACGCUGAGGAGCGAAAGCGUGGGGAGCGAACAGG
RNAcentral lists this ribosomal RNA (253 nucleotides) under uncultured bacterium. RNAcentral describes it as "partial 16S ribosomal RNA". It matches the Rfam family "Bacterial small subunit ribosomal RNA", at positions 524 to 776 of the family's 1533-position model. The record is from RNAcentral.